UAGGGAAUCUUCGGCAAUGGGGGGAACCCUGACCGAGCAACGCCGCGUGAGUGAAGAAGGUUUUCGGAUCGUAAAGCUCUGUUGUUAAGGAAGAACGAGUGUGAGAAUGGAAAGUUCAUACUGUGACGGUACUUAACCAGAAAGGGACGGCUAACUACGUGCCAGCAGCCGCGGUAAUACGUAGGUCCCGAGCGUUGUCCGGAUUUAUUGGGCGUAAAGCGAGCGCAGGCGGUUAGAAAAGUCUGAAGUGAAAGGCAGUGGCUCAACCAUUGUAGGCUUUGGAAACUGUGUAACUUGAGUGCAGAAGGGGAGAGUGGAAUUCCAUGUGUAGCGGUGAAAUGCGUAGAUAUAUGGAGGAACACCGGUGGCGAAAGCGGCUCUCUGGUCUGUAACUGACGCUGAGGCUCGAAAGCGUGGGGAGCGAACAGG
RNAcentral lists this ribosomal RNA (429 nucleotides) under Bacteroidota bacterium. RNAcentral describes it as "Bacteroidetes bacterium partial 16S ribosomal RNA". It matches the Rfam family "Bacterial small subunit ribosomal RNA", at positions 355 to 776 of the family's 1533-position model. Lineage: Bacteria; Pseudomonadati; Bacteroidota. The record is from RNAcentral.